AGUGUAGGCGGCUUCGUAAGUCGGAUGUGAAAGCCCCGGGCUUAACCUGGGAAUGCCAUUCGAUACUGCGCGGCUAGAGUUUGAUAGAGGGAAGUGGAAUUCCAGGUGUAGCGGUGAAAUGCGUAGAUAUCUGGAGGAACAUCAGUGGCGAAGGCGGCUUCCUGGAUCAAAACUGACGCUGAGGCUCGAAAGCGUGGGGAGCAAACA
RNAcentral lists this ribosomal RNA (207 nucleotides) under uncultured bacterium. Its description in RNAcentral is "partial 16S ribosomal RNA". It matches the Rfam family "Bacterial small subunit ribosomal RNA", at positions 568 to 774 of the family's 1533-position model. The record is from RNAcentral.